This 1609-nucleotide long non-coding RNA is filed under the name Homo sapiens (human). RNAcentral describes it as "HSALNT0197409". Lineage: Eukaryota; Metazoa; Chordata; Mammalia; Primates; Hominidae. The record is from RNAcentral.
CACCGCCACCUGGGACCUGGUUAGGAGCACGGACUCAGCCCCACCUCAGACCUGCUGAGUCAGAAGCCCUGGAGGCAGGCCCCCAAGAUCUGCUUUAACAAACUCUCGGGAGGGUUCCAAGGCACGUUACAGUUUGAGAACCAAUGGAUUUGAUUAGAAAAAAAGCAAGAGAUGAGACAGACGUGUCCCCCAAGGAGGACGUGUCUCCUUCGCAGGUGCACCAUCCAUGGAUUCCUGGGAGCUUAGUGGACCCCUCAGCAGGCGAGGCAGGAAAAGGACCUGAGGCACCUAGGCCUGUGCUGGGUAAACCUCAGAUGCAGAAAGGCCUGGAAGGAGAAAGGCGUGUUCGUUUUCAGGAGAGACCUGGAACUCGAGCAGAUGCCAGGGGAAUCACAGCACAGCUUGACGCAGCUGGAUCAUGAGCCACAUGGAGGCAGAGUGAAGACUUGUUUCAUCUUUUAAUCUGUAAUCCUCAGCAGCACCUGACAUGAGACCUCAAUAAAUAUUUGUUGCAUGAUUAUUGUUGAAUGACUUGUAGACACAAAAUGCUGUAUAAGCAUGAGAUGCAGCACGGGUGUGUGGAGAGAGGUGGACAGAGAGGAAAUUUAUUUACAACUUACACUUGUUCAUGAACACAGCCAUGAGCUGCGUGCUAGGGGUGCAAUAAAAGAACAGGAAAAACCCCACUAGAGCUCCCCAGUGAUAGACAACGAGCAUGUGAACACUUUCAUAAGGAAUCCAGGAGAACAUUCUGGUAUGCGUCACACAGGCAAUGGCCCGGGUGCUGUGACAGGGAGUGGCGGGGUGACCUGCUUUUUACAGAGUGAUCAUGAAGGGCUGCCUGAAGAAGUGAGAGUGAAUGCGACUGUGAGGAGAGAUGCCAAAAGAACAUUCCAGAAAGAGGGAAGAGCAGGCGUGAUGGCCCUGCCCAGGAAGGGCAUGCAUGUGUGGAAUACUCAGGCCGCCUGGAGCCUAGUGGGGUGCAGGGAGCGUGACAGGAGAUGAGGUUGGCCAUGUGGCAGGGCCAGGCCUGGAGGAGCCCACAGGCAGGGGAGGGGCGGGGAGUUCAUUCUCAGACCCAUGAGAAUCCAAUAAGGGGUGUUUUUGUUUUUUGUUUUGAGAUGGAGUUUUGUUCUGUCGCCCAGGCUGGAGUGCAGUGGUGCGAUCUCAGCUCACUGCAACAUCUGCCUCCCAGAUUCAAGCAAUUCUCCUGCCUCAGACUCCUGAGGAGCUGGGAUUAUAGGUACCCGCCACCACACCUAGCUAAUUUUUUGUAUUUUUGGUAGAGACGGGGUUUCACCAUGUUGGCCAGGCUGGUCUUAAACUCCUGACUUCAAGUGAUCCACCCGCCUCAGCUUCCCAAAGUGCUGGGAUUACGUGUGUGAGCCACUGCGCUCAGCCCAAUAAGGGAUGUUUUUAAACUGCUAAUCAAUGAAUUAAGGUAGUUGAUGUCACCAUCUGCAAUGGUGACUUCAACCCCAACUCCUGGCUCACACUGAUGAGAAUAAUCCACUUGGCAGUCUCAGGAGGGCUGUGCAGGUGUGUAGGUUGCGGGUGGAUUCUCCUCUGGAAGGAAGCCCAUGUCAAGAGCCUUCGCCACAAGGAGUUU